RNAcentral lists this long non-coding RNA (354 nucleotides) under Homo sapiens (human). RNAcentral describes it as "HSALNT0316345". The record is from RNAcentral. Lineage: Eukaryota; Metazoa; Chordata; Mammalia; Primates; Hominidae.
AAAAGCAGAAAGGAUGUGACCAACUGUGUCAAAUGCUGCUGAGACGUAAAACAUGAUGAAGUCCAAGAAUUGACUGGAGGGUCUGGAUGGCCGAUACUAGGCAUGCAUGUGCAUACAGAAAAGAGAGUAACCCAAUAGUGAGGAAGAAAUUGAUGCUGCAGGAGAGAGGGAAUAAUUGCCGAAGCAAAGAUCUUGAGGUACUGAGAAAGGAUGACCCUAAUUUCCUUAAUGCUGCAGCCUGCUUCCACUGAGGGACUGGAGGCUCCUUGAGCAAAAUUAUCUACCUCUUCACCUUUGGAUCUUUCACAGUUCCCAGUUCGGUGUACUACAGAUUGUACUUGCUAAAUAAAAAAU